This 300-nucleotide signal recognition particle RNA is filed under the name Cebus imitator (Panamanian white-faced capuchin). Its description in RNAcentral is "Metazoan signal recognition particle RNA (ENSCCAG00000000218.1)". It matches the Rfam family "Metazoan signal recognition particle RNA". From Rfam's summary of the family: The signal recognition particle (SRP) is a universally conserved ribonucleoprotein. It is involved in the co-translational targeting of proteins to membranes. The eukaryotic SRP consists of a 300-nucleotide 7S RNA and six proteins: SRPs 72, 68, 54, 19, 14, and 9. The record is from RNAcentral. Lineage: Eukaryota; Metazoa; Chordata; Mammalia; Primates; Cebidae.
GCCAGGCACAGGUGGCGUGUGCCUGUAGUCCCAGCUACUCGGGAGGCUGAGGGUGGAGAAUCGCUUGAGCCCAGGAGUUCUGGGCUGUAGUGCCCUAUACUGAUUGGGUAUCUGCACUAAGUUCGGCAUCAAUAUGGUGACCUCCCAGGAGCAGGCGACCACCAGGUUGCCUAAAGAGGGGUGAAUCGGCCCAGGUCGGAAAUGGAGCAGGUCAAAACUCCCAUGCUGAUCAGUAGAGGGAUUGCGCCUGUGAAUAGCCACUGCACUCCAGCCUGGGCAACAUAGCGAGACCCUGUCUCU